Molecule: long non-coding RNA, 1342 nt
Filed under: Nicotiana tabacum (common tobacco)
Lineage: Eukaryota; Viridiplantae; Streptophyta; Magnoliopsida; Solanales; Solanaceae
Description: long non-coding RNA (NTAB_LNC003969)
Source: RNAcentral
UCCUGUCUACAACAACGUUUCUUCCUUGACUGUUGGACCUAGAGGCAUUUAUCUUUUUAAUCAUUUUUUUUCUUUUCUAAACUAUAUAUUCCUGUUAAUUAAGGUUUCUACUUAAAGUGUGAAAUGCAACUUUUUAAUGAUCCAAAUAAAGUACUGUAUAGAUCUGAUUUUAGAACAAGCGAUAUAUGAGUUGCUUUAUAGUACUACUGUUUCCAUGUGUUCAUCAAUAUAAUAUUCACAAGAUAAAACUAUAUCUUGUUAGAAAUACCUCUACUUUUAAUACAUCAACAUGUCUUUUACAUGCGAUGGUUGCUUUUUACGGGUUAAACUCAUGGAAAUUUUUGUCUUAAGACAUGGUUUGUUUAAUUUGAUACUCCAUAAUAAUGGUCAACAUAGAAAAUGUAAGAGAAUUGUGGGAAAACUUAGUUGUUUUAUAGAUGAAAAAUGAUAGAAUUAGGCAAUAAUACAUGAUGGAAAGUAAUAGAUCAUAUCUUUUCACACUCUAAUAUUCUUAAAUAAUCUUAUGUUUCAGCCCUGAAUAAAGUUUAAGUUAAUACUUCAUAUUUUCCAUUCAAGAGAAAUCCUGUUUUAAAAAUUUAUGUUUUUAUGAGAUCAACACAAAAUAGGAUCCGUUAUCUUGAUGUUCUAAAGUGAUUCUAGUAAGAUUUUGAAAAUACUAGUAGAUACCCUAAUGCUCUUAGAUCUAUAUAUUUUGCAGCUAAACUUGAACAUGUUGGCUGAAUUUGUAAAUUUCUUAUAUAUUUUUGGCAGGGCCUGUUCUUCUUGAGGAUUAUCACUUAAUAGAGAAGCUCGCGACUUUUGAUCGUGAGCGGAUACCUGAGCGUGUUGUUCAUGCUAGAGGUGCCAGUGCAAAAGGUUUCUUUGAAGUCACUCAUGAUAUUUCUCAUCUUACCUGUGCUGAUUUUCUCCGAGCGCCUGGGGUUCAAACACCUGUUAUUUGCCGUUUCUCUACUGUCGUCCAUGAGCGUGGAAGCCCCGAGUCCCUUAGGGACAUUCGUGGUUUUGCUGUCAAAUUUUACACCAGAGAGGUAAUUUGCCUCAUCACAUGAACUUACUGCUUUCUUGGAAUGUAUUUGUUCAAUUGUAUUUUCUUAAUUUACUUGUGUAUAUAUCUUACUUGUUUUUAUGAAUCAGGGUAACUUUGAUCUGGUUGGAAACAACGUCCCCGUCUUCUUUAAUCGUGAUGCAAAAUCGUUCCCUGACACGAUUCGUGCACUGAAACCAAAUCCAAAGUCACACAUUCAGGAAUACUGGAGGAUCCUUGAUUUCUUCUCUUUCCUUCCGGAGAGUUUGCAUACUUUUGCCUGGUUUUUCGAUGAUG